This 229-nucleotide long non-coding RNA is filed under the name Lathyrus oleraceus (garden pea). RNAcentral describes it as "Pisum sativum (pea) long non-coding RNA (PSAT_LNC023499)". The record is from RNAcentral. Lineage: Eukaryota; Viridiplantae; Streptophyta; Magnoliopsida; Fabales; Fabaceae.
AAAAUACUUUUAAAAUGAAUUUUAAAAGGGAAAUAAAGAGAAAAUCCAUAAAGCCCUUCAAAAUACCAAAUAAAUGGCCAAGAAAAAUAUGGAAGGUUUGAGAAAAAAAACAUAAAAUAAAUUUCUCACAAUUUUUAAAUGCUUAAAAGUAUUUUUAAACCAAUUAAAAUAGAGGAGAAAAGAGAAAAUUCGAGAAAAAUAGAAAAUCAAGAAAAUAAAAUGUGAAAAA